Molecule: long non-coding RNA, 240 nt
Filed under: Fukomys damarensis (Damara mole-rat)
Lineage: Eukaryota; Metazoa; Chordata; Mammalia; Rodentia; Bathyergidae
Description: lncRNA (ENSFDAG00000031352.1)
Source: RNAcentral
UGUUUUAAGAUGUCUUCACUGGAAAGAACCCAAGCUAAAAACAGAAGUCAGGAGUCCAUAGCCUUUAUAUGUGCAACAGGAAGUAGUGGACAAGCAGAGACAAAGAGGUGCUGUCAAGUACCUGGAGGGGAAGAAAAAUGUGAAGGUGAAGAGGUAGAGAAUUGGGCCACAGAUAACAAAUACAAUGUUUCUGUACAAAGCGAUCAAGACAGCUUCUCUAAGGAAUACUAUUUGAUGUGA